Molecule: long non-coding RNA, 1655 nt
Organism: Odocoileus virginianus texanus
Lineage: Eukaryota; Metazoa; Chordata; Mammalia; Artiodactyla; Cervidae
Source: RefSeq, a predicted model, not a curated record
CGGGGUCAAGCCGUGGUUCCAUGACGCGGGCGGCGGGGAGAAAGUCGCACGGACUGUGGGAACGGCGCGUCCAUCCAUCGGUUAGACAGAUGGAGAAACUGAGGCCAGAGCCACCAAGAACCUGCUCAGAAACUACAAUCCUUGAGUCUUUUGUCGGGUGGCGAAACUGAGGCUUGGGGAAAGGUGGAAACAGACUCAAGUCUUCACUGCAAGUCUCCUCCCCCUCUAUCUGUCCCCCUCCACAAGCCCCCACGUGACCUCCACCUGCUCUGACAUUCUCCAAGCCCUGUCUCUGGAUCCUUUCCCCUCUCCUGCUGUCUCCACUGGACAAACAUCCGCACUCUACUCCUGCCAAGCCGUCCGCCCUGUGAAGCUUCAGUUGCCACAGCCCACCCCAGGAAGGACCCCCGAAAAGGGAAGCUUCGCCCCUAGUGUUGGGGAUAGGGGGCAUUCAAGAGUCUGUACAAACUGGCCUACUCUCAGAUUGCUGGGGUCAGGUGGCCCUGCCUCAUUCUUCAGAAAACGAAACCAAGUCUCAGAGAGUGUCUUGGAGGUGCUUGGAGGUGAGAAUGCUUGGAGGUGAGACCCAGAACACCCACCUGCUGGUGACAGCAGUCCCCAAGUGCAAGGAGGCUAGGCCUCCUAGCCGAGGCCCCACAGGAGCUCUGGGCUUGACUGUGUCCUGCUGUGUGAUAGCAACCCUCUGCCUGAGCCUUGCUCCAGGGCACUUCACCAGUUUGGGGGUCCCCAGACAAAUGCCACCCAGGUUUCUGGCAGUCCUGGGGGGAUGUGAGAUAUUAUUUCAGGAGAUCGGGCUUCAGUGGGGAGACCCUGACCCUCCCCUGACAUCUCGAUCAUACUGUGGUCCCUCUUGUUUAGAUGAGAAACUGGAGGAGGCUCACAGAGGAGUCAUGCUGGGGCCCAGGAGGACAGGGAGUCUCAAGGGUCUGGCCAGGAACCCCCUUCUGUCCCCAGGGCCCUGCAACCGGACACCUGGUGGGAAUCAGACUCUCUGUCCCCAAGACAAAAAUACCAUCUGUAGCUGCUGUGACUGGACCUAAUUAUAGCUGGUCCCCAGGGGAUAAAGGCCGCCGGGCUCAGCCUAGUGGAGAGACUGGGGUUGGGGCCAAGGCGGCUUGACACCACCCCCAGCCCUGUGGGAGGGGCUCAGGAUGCUCUCGUGGCCCCAAGGAGACACUGAGGCACAGAGAGAUUCAGUCCCUUUCCUGAAUUCACAGAAUAGAAGGUGAAGACUAAACACAUAGGAAUAAACUGAGCAUUUCUUGCUCUUCUGGUGCUGAGCCAAGGGCUGUGUGUGUAAAAGUCAUUUGAUUUUCAGAGCAGCUCUAUAAAGUGGGGGCUGGUAUUCUCAUUUUGUGGAUGGGUAAAUUGAGGCACAGAGAAGGGUGCUUAUUGCCUGAAGUCACUCAAGCCUGGGUUGGCAGGCUCCCCAGCCUCUCCCAACUUAAUGCUUAACUAGCUCCAUCCCCUGAGUUUGAGUAAGCUCCGGGACUUGGUGAUGGACAGGGAACCCUCACGUGCUGCAGUCCAUGGGGCCGCAAAAAGUUGGACACAACUGAGCAACUGAACUGAACUGAGCGCCAUCCCCUGUGUAGUCCCAGAUGCUACUCUGACAUUAAAUGCUUUAUCGAUAA